GGGCGUGUGGUCUAGCUCGGUCAUGACGUCGCCUUCACACGGCGAAGAUCCCCAGUUCAAAUCUGGGCACGCCCA
Molecule: transfer RNA, 75 nt
Filed under: archaeon BMS3Bbin16
Lineage: Archaea
Also listed under: 3 other names
Description: tRNA-Val
Rfam family: tRNA
About the family: Transfer RNA (tRNA) molecules are approximately 80 nucleotides in length.
Source: RNAcentral